GGCCUUGUGGCGCAACGGCUAGCGCGUUCGCCUCCAGAGCGAAAGGUUAUCUGUUCAAAUCAGGUCAGGGUCA
Molecule: transfer RNA, 73 nt
Filed under: Coniochaeta sp. 2T2.1
Lineage: Eukaryota; Fungi; Ascomycota; Sordariomycetes; Coniochaetales; Coniochaetaceae
Rfam family: tRNA
About the family: Transfer RNA (tRNA) molecules are approximately 80 nucleotides in length. Their secondary structure includes four short double-helical elements and three loops (D, anti-codon, and T loops).
Source: Rfam by way of RNAcentral